This 113-nucleotide microRNA precursor is filed under the name Ectocarpus siliculosus. RNAcentral describes it as "miR3459 stem-loop (esi-MIR3459)". Lineage: Eukaryota; Phaeophyceae; Ectocarpales; Ectocarpaceae. The record is from miRBase by way of RNAcentral.
GGUCUGUCCGGAGGUCCCCUUGUUGCUUGAAUGCAAGCCAAGCUGGCUCUCCGAUAGCGUCGACGAAUAUCUUCGCUUGCGUUCAAGAACCAAGCGGACCUCCGCGCAGACCC